Non-coding RNA from Cyanidioschyzon merolae strain 10D, 74 nucleotides. The record is from the annotation of a RefSeq genome assembly. Lineage: Eukaryota; Rhodophyta; Bangiophyceae; Cyanidiales; Cyanidiaceae.
GGUGCUGUGGCGAAGAUGGUUAUCGCAUCGUGCUGAUAACACGAAGGUCCGCGGUUCGAGCCCGCGCAGCACCA